RNAcentral lists this small RNA (153 nucleotides) under Helicotheca tamesis. RNAcentral describes it as "partial transfer-messenger RNA". The record is from RNAcentral. Lineage: Eukaryota; Bacillariophyta; Thalassiosirophyceae; Lithodesmiales; Lithodesmiaceae.
UUUAUGAAAUUUACAAAAUAAAUGCUGACAAUAAAUACGCAUGCUCCUUUCCUUUCUGUGGUGCCUAAUUAUCUUUAUUUUCUAAAGAAAUACACUCUUUUCAAAUUCCAGCUAGGUUGGAUUAUGGACUGCCUUGGUCUCAUCGAAUCACGA